GUCACCACUUCUUCAACUAUUCUUCUAGCAUUUCGGCAAAUAAUUCUUUACACAACUUUCUUAUCUCACGUCACGAUACAUUCAGCAAAACCUGAACUCGCUAAUAGGUGUAGGUGUUACAACAGGAGAGCUAAUUUGUAUCUUGGACUUAACUGACAAAUCAAGAAUCCAAUGACAACUAUCCUAUAGGAAUCAGGGGGGAAAGAGAUGUGAAGAGGGAUUGUACAAGAAUCAAAGAAUUUUGCAUCUCUUUUAUAAUUUAAAUGGAUUGGUGAGAGAGUUAUUUUCUCUAUAGUUUCUUCCAAAUUGGUUUCGAUAUUACAACUAAAACUAAGCAUUCCAGAAAAUGAUGGGAAUCAAAGUGUCUUCUUAAUCAUCCUGGUCUAACAAACAGUAAUGUAAUUCACCUUAGAAUCUCAAUAGUACUUACGUGGCACAGUGUUUGGAGACAGCUGAAAUGUGCUCUCCCCGUAUGCGGACAAUAUAAAACAAGUCUGCAAGCAAAAAAGUUUUAAGUUGUAGACCUGCAGAUGAAAUACAGCGUGUUUAAGUGCAUUUACAGUUUUGCCUACAUGUUUAGUAUAGAAUCAACAGCUGGGGAGGAAAGUGUUUACCAUAUUCUGUACCUUUAUGCAGUGACAAUCCUCUAAAGCUGGCACAGCAAUUACUUUGUGGCCGACCUCCAGCCCCCCCGGCACAAUACAAAUGCACAUCAAAUUCAGAGAGAGAACUUAAAACUGCAUAGAUAACCAUGAGCUUCAUAAACAAGACAUCUAAUCGUUUCUGUCCUCAAUCUUC
RNAcentral lists this long non-coding RNA (798 nucleotides) under Nicotiana tabacum (common tobacco). RNAcentral describes it as "long non-coding RNA (NTAB_LNC004980)". Lineage: Eukaryota; Viridiplantae; Streptophyta; Magnoliopsida; Solanales; Solanaceae. The record is from RNAcentral.